GACGAACGCUGGCGGCGUGCCUAAUACAUGCAAGUCGAACGAGAGCGACCGGUGCUUGCACUGGUCAAUCUAGCGGCGCACGGGUGAGUAACACGUGGGUAACCUGCCCAUCAGAGGGGGAUAACAUCCGGAAACGGAUGCUAAAACCGCAUAGGUCUUCGAACCGCAUGGUUUGAAGAGGAAAAGAGGCGCAAGCUUCUGCUGAUGGAUGGACCCGCGGUGCAUUAGCUAGUUGGUGAGGUAACGGCUCACCAAGGCCGUGAUGCAUAGCCGACCUGAGAGGGUGAUCGGCCACAUUGGGACUGAGACACGGCCCAAACUCCUACGGGAGGCAGCAGUAGGGAAUCUUCCGCAAUGGACGCAAGUCUGACGGAGCAACGCCGCGUGAGUGAAGAAGGUUUUCGGAUCGUAAAACUCUGUUGUUAGAGAAGAACAAGUGCUAGAGUAACUGUUAGCGCCUUGACGGUAUCUAAACAGAAAGCCACGGCUAACUACGUG
This 498-nucleotide ribosomal RNA is filed under the name uncultured bacterium. RNAcentral describes it as "partial 16S ribosomal RNA". It matches the Rfam family "Bacterial small subunit ribosomal RNA", at positions 28 to 507 of the family's 1533-position model. The record is from RNAcentral.